AUAUCAUUUGCAGCGCUGAGCGCGACUGUCCUUGUUCUUGGGUUGCUACUAUUAUUGAUGAUAAUACCUGGUGAGUUAUCCAAUGACUGCCGUGUUCACGUUGUAUCAUACGUAGCUUUCGUAGCGUACAAACGCAUUGUUCCAUUAACUGACUGCGAAUCGCGAACUAAUACAGAGCAGUCUUUUGUAGUAAGAAUUGUUUGUGCAACCACGGGAAAAGCUGCAAACACUUAGCAGGCAUCGAAAUGUACCGAGUGCAAGCUCGUGGGGCCGGGCCCUGCGGCUUCGGGGCUGCAGGUGUCCCGAAGCAGCCAGUCAGUCGACGCGAGCACUGCCGUCCCUAGCACUGCGGCGCACGCGGACACCGCUGCUGCCAUGGUUCCCAGGGCUGCUGCGCCGGCUGACGGGACUGGGGGAACGGGAUUGCCCUCAGUGGCGGCAGGGCUGCCUGCCGCCACCUCUGCGCUCCAGUCCAGGCUCCGGCCCCUCCACUGCUGCUGCUUCUUCCACGACCCCUGGCGCUGCGGCACCUGUAACAGGGGCUGGGGCGGCUGCGGCCGCGGCACUCACUGCACUGCUGCACCUGAGAGUGUCCCCACAACAAGGGCAUCCAUUCAGAGCUCCACGGGGCCAGGUGCUAAGUGUGCCCUCCGGGUAGUCAUCCACGACACCCUCGCAGUCCGUGUACAGUUCGAGUGGUUGCCGAAACGGAAACUGGACAAUGGAUGCCAUUUUGCUCCCAGGUGUCAAGAAGUGCAGAGCAGAACGCGUCCGCACUCAGGUACCUGCUCCUGAAUGACACAAGGUCGAACAGCUGCAAGAGCGACUGGUGCCACCGGAGAACAUGCUGGCCGUUUCGCUGGAGGUGGAGGUCCCACCCAGCCUUAGCGUCAGGUAGGCAGUUGAACUCUGUGGGACGCAUGUUAUGAAACGCCCGACAUGGCGUUCACCAACACACAGGGACAUGUACGCAUAUGGGUCACUCCCAAGUGAUGAUGGUCACAGGGCAGGUCCAGAUCCGCUCCCCGUCCGGGGAGCGCACGG
Molecule: long non-coding RNA, 1044 nt
Filed under: Volvox carteri
Lineage: Eukaryota; Viridiplantae; Chlorophyta; Chlorophyceae; Chlamydomonadales; Volvocaceae
Description: long non-coding RNA (VCAR_LNC000341)
Source: RNAcentral